CAUCAUGUCCUCAUUAGCUAUAUGCAUGCAUGCAUGCAAUUGCAUGCAUGCAUGCAUGCAUAUAGCUAAUGAGGACAUGAUG
Non-coding RNA from Paramuricea clavata, 82 nucleotides. NCBI's taxonomy places the organism in Eukaryota, Metazoa, Cnidaria, Anthozoa, Malacalcyonacea, Plexauridae. The record is from the annotation of a GenBank genome assembly.